CGAAUAACCAAAUAUAAAUACACAAUUCACACAAUUUAAAUAACUCCAAAUAUAACUCCAAACGAACACCAAACACGAGUCAACAUGAAAAGCAAUCAAUAACAGUACCAAUUCAACGUAUAACUAGUACUACUUUAACCCUAAACAAAGUUCUAGGUCCUAGGGCUAAGACUAGAGUGGCUAAGUCUGGAAUUUAAGUCUAUAGGAACUGUUAUAACUUAGAUACUUUGGCUGCUUGGCAAAUGGUGCUAAAGGAUAGAGCAAGGGAUGCAAAGUAUACUACUGUAUAGUAUUACGAUUGUACUAGCUAACCCAACAAGUCUCAUCCCAAAAUAAUCUACAGAGAAAUAGCUACUGGCUUGCAAAGGAGCGUGGCGUGAGGAGGAAGAAGCAGGAGCGCUCGGUCGGCUGGGCUGGGCUGGUGCGCCAGGGAGAGUUGGGCCAGGAGAGAGGGAGGCCCGGGAAGAAAAUAAAGAGAAAAAGAAAAAGAAAGAGGGAGGUGGGCAGGGCGCUGGGGAGAUGGGCCGGCCCAGUUGGGUCGGUCCAAUUCUUUUUUUUUUCUAUUUUCUAUUUUCUGUUUUCAUCUAUAUCUUUUGAUUCCUAACUCCAAAUAAGUCCAAAUAAACUCCAGAAAAUUUGUAAAUUCAAAUCCUCCAAAGUGUGAGC
Molecule: long non-coding RNA, 666 nt
Filed under: Brachypodium distachyon (stiff brome)
Lineage: Eukaryota; Viridiplantae; Streptophyta; Magnoliopsida; Poales; Poaceae
Description: long non-coding RNA (BDIS_LNC004408)
Source: RNAcentral